RNAcentral lists this ribosomal RNA (253 nucleotides) under uncultured bacterium. RNAcentral describes it as "partial 16S ribosomal RNA". It matches the Rfam family "Bacterial small subunit ribosomal RNA", at positions 524 to 776 of the family's 1533-position model. The record is from RNAcentral.
GACGUAGGUGGCGAGCGUUACUCGGAAUCACUAGGCGUAAAGCACGUGUAGGCGGGCGCUUAAGUCCGCUGUGAAAUCUCCCGGCUCAACUGGGAAAGGUCAGCGGAUACUGGGCGUCUAGAGUGAGGUAGAGGGUGCUGGAAUUCCCGGUGUAGCGGUGAAAUGCGUAGAUAUCGGGAGGAAUACCCGUGGCGAAGGCGGGCACCUGGGCCUCCACUGACGCUGAGACGUGAAAGCUAGGGGAGCAAACAGG